Molecule: ribosomal RNA, 526 nt
Filed under: uncultured Paracoccaceae bacterium
Lineage: Bacteria; Pseudomonadati; Pseudomonadota; Alphaproteobacteria; Rhodobacterales; Paracoccaceae
Description: bacterial SSU rRNA
Rfam family: Bacterial small subunit ribosomal RNA
Source: RNAcentral
UGGGGAAUCUUAGACAAUGGGCGCAAGCCUGAUCUAGCCAUGCCGCGUGUGUGAUGAAGGCCUUAGGGUCGUAAAGCACUUUCGCCAGAGAUGAUAAUGACAGUAUCUGGUAAAGAAACCCCGGCUAACUCCGUGCCAGCAGCCGCGGUAAUACGGAGGGGGUUAGCGUUGUUCGGAAUUACUGGGCGUAAAGCGUACGUAGGCGGAUCAGAAAGUAGGGGGUGAAAUCCCAGGGCUCAACCCUGGAACUGCCUCCUAAACUCCUGGUCUUGAGUUCGAGAGAGGUGAGUGGAAUUCCAAGUGUAGAGGUGAAAUUCGUAGAUAUUUGGAGGAACACCAGUGGCGAAGGCGGCUCACUGGCUCGAUACUGACGCUGAGGUACGAAAGUGUGGGGAGCAAACAGGAUUAGAUACCCUGGUAGUCCACACCGUAAACGAUGAAUGCCAGUCGUCGGGCAGUAUACUGUUCGGUGACACACCUAACGGAUUAAGCAUUCCGCCUGGGGAGUACGGUCGCAAGAUUAAAA